ACGUCCCGUGCUACGUCCCUAACCAAGUUCGCCGUCUCUGACCACAUAGCGUCCGCUUCCCCAGAACUUCUCCAAGCUCCGCCCUCAGCUAACCUCCUUUCCAACUCCUACCUCCACUUUUCCUUCGACUACAUUGUUCCACCACCAGUCACCCUGAUGUAUGCCUGAAUAGCCCUUGGCUACCCCGAGCACGUCCCGUGCUACCUCCCUAACCAAGUUCGUCGUCUCUGACC
Molecule: long non-coding RNA, 233 nt
Filed under: Nicotiana benthamiana
Lineage: Eukaryota; Viridiplantae; Streptophyta; Magnoliopsida; Solanales; Solanaceae
Description: long non-coding RNA (NBEN_LNC024755)
Source: RNAcentral